CAAAGGCCUGGUCCUGACUUUAAUAUCGAUUCUGACCUAAAUUACACAUGCAAGUACCCGCACCCCCGUGAGAAUGCCCCCCAUACCCUAUUUAGGGAAAGAGGAGCAGACAUCAGGCGCACCCCCCACGUUGCCCAAAACGUCUUGUUUAGCCACACCCACAAGGGAAUUCAGCAGUGAUUAACCUUAAGCAAUAAGCGCAAGCUUGACUUAGUUAAGGUCAAUAAGGGCCGGUAAACCUCGUGCCAGCCACCGCGGUUAUACGGGGGGCCCAAACUGAUAUUCAACGGCGUAAAGCGUGAUUAAGGAAAAUUAAAAACUAAAGAAGAAGGUCCCCCAAGCUGUUAUACGCUAACGGGAUGACUGAACCCCCACAACGAAAGUGACUUUAAAACUCUUGAACCCACGAAUAUUAAGGAACAAACUGGGAUUAGAUACCCCACUAUGCUUAAUUGUAAACAAUGGCGGGACACUACAAAACCCGUCCGCCAGGGGACUACGAGCACUAGCUUAAAACCCAAAGGACUUGGCGGUGCCUCAAACCCACCUAGAGGAGCCUGUUCUAUAAUCGACAACCCCCGUUAAACCUCACCACCCCUUGCCAAAAUCAGCCUAUAUACCGCCGUCGCCAGCUUACCCCAUGAGGGUAUAAUAGUAAGCUAAAUGGUUAAUACCACAAACGUCAGGUCGAGGUGUAGCUAAUGGAGUGGGAAGAAAUGGGCUACAUUUUCUGACGCAGAAUAUUACGAAAAGUGUAAUGAAAAAUACACGACUGAAGGUGGAUUUAGCAGUAAAAAGAAAACAGAGUGUUCUUUUGAAGCCGGCUCUGAGGCGCGUACACACCGCCCGUCACUCUCCUCUAAACAUUAUCAUAAAAAUAAAUAAUAAAACAAAUUACCCGCCAGAGGAGGCAAGUCGUAACAUGGUAAGUGUACCGGAAGGUGCACUUGGAAAAAUU
RNAcentral lists this non-coding RNA (958 nucleotides) under Muraenichthys sp. CHW-2002. RNAcentral describes it as "12S ribosomal RNA". It matches the Rfam family "Bacterial small subunit ribosomal RNA". Lineage: Eukaryota; Metazoa; Chordata; Actinopteri; Anguilliformes; Ophichthidae. The record is from RNAcentral.